ACUAUAACAGAAAGAUGAGAGUUGUUAAUUAUCUGGCUGCUUCCUGCUAAAUAGGGGCACUGUAGUCAGGGUUUGGGUUUUGAAGCAGUGUGUGUCGUCUUCAGAGUUGUUUUCUUGGAGGUGCUGAUACUGGACUUGGUGGAGAAGGAUGGUAUUAAUGUGUUUCUAGGUGGCUGCCUGGACAAGAGAGUUCAGCCUUUGGGAGAUAAAGCAGGAUAUAAACGAAGCACCCUUGAGUUUGAUACAUGGAGAGCUGCACCGGCAGAGAGGCCAGGGUUGGUAGGAGGUGUUUUAUGAAAUCCAGCUUGUAACAUGUUUCGUUUAGAGGCCAUGAAGUAAAGGAGGGUGACAUCCCAGUGUGUGACAGUGUGGGUUUAUUUGAUGGAUUGGGGGAAAGGUGUUUAGCUGAGCAAGAUUAUAAACAGGUUUUGGGAAUGGAUUGGCUGAGUAGGUGAGAUGCAGGCUUAUUUUGGACGAGGUUUAUGUGGUUAGGUUAACAGGAAGGGCUGUGAUCUGCUGGAUUUAUGUGGACAAAUAAAUUUAACAGUUGGAAGAAAGAGGGAAGUGUAACUGAUUAAAAGAUAAUGUGUGAGGUUGACAAAGGGGCCCCAACUGCCAAAGGUUGGGGGCGGGGACUUAGAGUAUCCAACAGACAAAGAAGACAAAAAGAAAAAACAAAAACGGAGAUUUGAGUAGGAGUGAUAUCUUGGAAGGUGUCCUGCAGCCAUAGCUCCUGGAUUAAUGUGAGGAACUGGAAUGGUCUAUCCAGGGACACGGGAGGGAAUACUGGGAAAGAUUUGAAACAAAGUAUGAGAUAAAAGAUUUGAAAUUGGAGGCAGAGAAUGUCACGGACCAGGGCCUUCUGGAUCGGCAACUUCUGGAAUUUUUGUAAGCGCAGCAAAUCAGUCCUGUGAGGGAGGAAGAAUAAUUUGGGGAUGAGGAAAUUUCUGGAAGUGGAACUGGUGGUCUUUUUAGUUUGGAAUGGUGUAUCCAGUAUGGAUAGGAUGUUAGCUUUGCCGCCAUGAGAGUAGUUAGGAUUACCUGGUGAGGACCCAUCCACUUUGGUUGGAGAGAGGAGGAGGAGGAGUCUGUGAUUCAGACCCUGUCCCCUGGUUGUAGGGACAGGGAGGAGUGUCUGGAGGAUGGGCUUUCAGGCUGGGGCAAGUAAGCAUUUGCACACUGUCUUAUUAGAUGUUGAGUGAGGUGUAAUGCCGGCCAAGUAUCCCAUAUAGAAGGGGGAGGAGAUGAAGGAAGAUCCUGGAGGAUAAAGGGGCAUCUGUACAUGAGUUCAAAUGGGCUUAGGCUGAGGGGCUUGUGGGGAAUGGCUCACAAAUGCAUGAGGGCCAAUGGGAGAAGUGAAGUCCAGGUCAUCUUAACCUCUAGGGAGAGUUUGGUUAGUUGUUGUUUUAGAAGGGCAUUGGUCUGUUCAAUCUUACUGGAAGAUUGGGGGUUAUAGGGAAUAUGGAAAGCCCAUUUAAUGUUUAGAGCCUUUGCUAGCUGUUGGUUAACCUGUGAAAUAAACGUUGGCCCAUUGUCUGACUGGAUGGUAGAGGGGAGUUCAAACUGGGGGAUAGUAUGAGUGAGGAGAAUAGAAGUGACAGUGUGUGCCUUUUUGGUGGUGGCAGGAAAAGCUUUUAUCCAGAGAAUGUAUUUACUACUGUCAGAAGGUAUUGGACUCUUUUUAUGGGGGGGCAUGUGGGUGAAGUCGAUUUGCCAGUCCUGCCCUGGCAGGUGUCCUCAGGCCUGGUGUGCAGGAAAGGAGGUGAUUUGAUAGCUUCCUGAGGGGAAGUUUGAGUGCAAAGGGAACAUGCCUUAGAAAUAUUUUUGAGAUUAGCAGCCAUGGUGGGAGAAUGUAUAUAAGCUUUUAAGAGAUGGAGUAGUGGGCAGUAACCAGCAUAAAAAUUGUUGUGCACUUAUAAAAGUACAGAAGUUUUUUGUGACUUGGGUAAGACAAUUUUAUUAUUGAGGUAGGACCAUUUUAAUUCCUGAAUGGUGCCAGCCUAGGUGACUGAAAUUUGUUCCUCUUGGGUAUAUAUAGGGUGUAUGUUGGGAAAAAUGGGCAAUAAUGAUUUUUUAAGGGCUGCCUGCUGGGCUGCCGAACUUGCUAAAAACUUUCCCUUGUUUAUGGCAUUUGUAGCCUUUUAGUGUCCUUUACAAUGGAUAAUGGCAGCCUGUGGUGGUAAUUUAGCUGCUUCCAGCAGCUUAUAUAUGAGUUUGCCAUUUCCUAUGGGGGUUCUUUUUGCAGCUAGAAAAACCCUUUCCGGCUAGCUUAAGGCAUGAGAGUGUAGGAUGUGGUAUGUAUAUUUGGAAUUCAUGUAAAUGUUAAUUCUCUUUCCCUUUGCUAGGGUGAGGGCACUGGUUAGAAAAACUAGCUUCACCUGUUGAGGGGUAGGAUGAGGCGGGAGAGCACUGGAUUUUAGGAGUUUGUUUCUGGCAAUGAUGGUGUAGCCAGCUGCUGGACAUGGCUCCCUAAAAGAGCUUCUGUUAAUGAACCAUGUAGGGGUUCCCUGCAAAGGGGCUUCCAAAAUGUGUUGGAAGUGGGAAGAGAGGGAGUCUAAGAGGUCCAGGCAGGAGUGAGAGAGAGCUCAGAGUUGGAGGUGUUUACAGGGAGAAGGGUGGCCAGGUUGAGAGCUUUACAUUUCUGGAAAGUGAUUUAGAGAGUUUCCUAUGAAUAAGGCAUGUAGCUGCUGUAAGCAGGAUGGUGAGAGGGAUAGAAGAGAAUGAUGGCUUAUGAGGUUCUAUAGGUUAUGGGAAGAUGCAUUACACAUAGUAAUGUGUUGUUAGAAAGUGAGUUUCUGUGCAUCUGAGGCCAGCAAUGUGGCCACACCUAAGAUUUUUAGGCACAGUGGCCAGCCUUGAAUGAGAGUCCGGUUGUUUUGAGAGGUAUGUAACGGCUUGUGGGGCAUUGCUGUAUGUUUGGUAGUCCAUAAGCAAGGCCUUGGUCAGAAUGUACAUACAGAGUAAAGGGCUUGGUGGGGUUGGGCAGUCCCAGUGCUGGGGCCAUUAAAAAGGCAUUUUUUUUAGUUUUUUAAAGUGGGAGUUGAUUGGGCAAGCUGGGUUCAGGAAUUUUAGGAUGGGUCCAUGUGAGGCCGUGUAGAACGGCUUGGCCAGCAAGCCGAACUUGGGAAUCUACAGCUGGAAGUAUCCCACAAGACCCAAGAAGGAGAGGAGGUCCUCCUUUGUGUGGGAAAGAGGAAUGUCCCAGUUUAGCUCAUUUCAUUGGGUUGAGAAGGCCUGAGAAUUAGGCAAUAGAGCAAGCCCAAGGUAAGUGACCUGGGUUUGGGCUACCUGAGCCUUUGUGGGUGAGACCCGAUAUCCUUGACUAUGGAGGAAAUUUAAAAGCUGAGUGGUGUGUUCGAAGGACAGGUUAAGGGAGGGGCUACAGAGAAGGAGGUUAUUGACGUAUUAGAGGAGGGUGCUAGGAAUAAGGGGAAGUUCAGCUAGAUUCUUGGUGAGGGCCUGUCUGAAUAGGUGGGGACUAUCCUGGAACCCCUGUGGGAGUAUGAUCCAUGUUAGUUGGGAGGAUGUGUAUUGGGAUUUGACCAAGUGAAAGCAAAAAGACUUUGGGAAGCAAAGUUUAAGGGAAUAGUGAAAAAGGCGUCCUUUAGAUCCAAUACAGAGAAGUGUGUGGCAGAUGAGGGAAUAUGGGAGAGUAGAGUAUAUGAUUGGGGACCACCAGAUAGACAGGCCUAGUUAACAACUCAGAGAUCCUGGACCAAGAGGUAAGACCCGUCUGUCUUAUUGACAGCUAGGAUAGGGGUGUUGUGGGGAGAGUUGAGAAUUCGAGCUUAUAAAAGUUUACAGAUAGUAGGUUUGAGGUCCCUAAGGCCAGCUGGGUUAAGUGGAUUUUGAGACUGAUGAAGGAAAAUGGAGGGGUUUUGGAGGGUUAUUAUGAUGGGGAUGUGAUGUGUGGCUAUUGUGGGUUUAGAAACGUUUCGAACUUCAGGAUUAACAAAAGGUAACAGGGUGGAUAAUGAGGAUGAGGGGAAGGAGAGUGAAGCAUCUGGGCGGCAGAGUAAAAUAAAAGGGACGAAAUUGCAGGAGGCAAAUUGUAUGGAGACCUGGGAUUUGCUUUGUAUGUCCCGCCCCAAGAUAGGGGUAGGACACUGAGGGAUAAUCAGGAAUGAGUGGGUGAAGGGGGUGUUGAAUAGGUUGCAUAAUAGAGAACCAGUCUGUUUGUACCUAGAGGGGGUUCCAUUGACUCCCACAAAUAGAGAUAGAAGAACUGAGGAGGGGUCCAGAAUAUUCUGGUAAAACUGAGUAACUAGCCUCAUAUUUAAAGGGAAAAGCAUAAGCUUACCAGAGACUGAAAGUGUUACCCUGGGUUCCAAGGCAGUGAUGGCAGUGGGGGUGGUGGAUUCCAGGCCCCAUCAGUCUUCAGUUAGAGGUGGUGAAACGGGAUGAAGAGUUUCGCUGAGCACAGUCCAAUGACCAGUGUUCCUUGAUACCACAGAUGGGGCAAGGUUUUGAGGGUGUCCUGGGAUUAGGGCAGGCUUUUGCCUAGUGACCCUGUUGGCCACACUUCAAACAGUCUUCCGGUGGAGUUUGUUGUGAGGUUGAGGAUUUUUGUAUGCGUUGGGAACCCUGUUGAACGGCAGCUGCCAGCAUCUGGUGUUUAGCCUGGUCCCUUUUUAGCUUUUGGGUUUUCAGUUUUUCCUCUCUAUUGUUAAAGACCUUAAAGGCCACUUUGAUUAAGUCUCUUUGGGAGAUUUGAGGGUCAUCCUCCAGUUUUUAAAGUUUUAUUUAUUUAUUUAUUUCUGGGGCUGACUGGGAAAUGAAGUGUAAAUGAAGGUAGAUUCUGCCCUUACUGGUAUUAGGGCUUAACGUGGUAUAUUUAGUCAUGGCCUCUGAAAGGCAGGAGAGGAAAAGAGCAGGGGCAGCUUUGUUCAUGCCAGCUAGGAGGCAUGAUAUUAUAUGGCCCUGUUUCUGUCUGUCUGCGGAAGUUGCCUGAUAAUCCCAAUUGGAAUUAGUUCUGGGUACAGCUAGGGUCCCUAUUGGGUUAUGGGCAGCAUCUUGUUGGUGGAGGGUGUUUGCAUGGGCCUGGGCAGCUGUCCAGAUGCAUUCCCUGUGCUCCGGGGUGAUGGUGGAGGACAGCAUGACAUAUGUCAUGACAGGUAAGGUCAUAAGAUUGAGUGAUAUUUAGAAAUUCCUUGCAGGAGGUAGAAUUUGUGGGAAAAAAGCCGAGCUUCUUUUCAAGCUGGGAGAGGCUGGCUAGGGAGAAGGAAACAUGAACUCGGAUUGUGCCUUAGGCCCCCACGACCUCCCACAAGGGGAGGACUUUGGAGGACCUUUGGGCAUGUGUCUGGUUUUUGGCAAAAGGGGGUUGAGUGUGAGACCUGGUAUGCAGUGGAGAUGGAGGGGGCAAAGGGCAACAAUAAGGGAGUGGAGGAGCCACAGCUGAACGACAAGGAGGGGAUGGUGGUGGGAGGGGUACAGAGGGAGGGGGUUUGUUAGCCAGGUUGAAAUUAGAGAAGGAAGGCUUGUCUGUAGGAGGAGGUACUUUUGCAGGAUAUUUGUGGAGGAGGAGGAUUUGAAAAGGUGAACAGGGUUGGCAGAGAGACAACCACAAACGGAGAUAAGCAAAGCACCUCGGAUCAUUUACCAUUGCACAGGAGGAAGUUUUUUACAUUAUGUUGAAUUUGGAAAUUGAAGAUUUUGUUGUUUGGCCAUUGACUAUUAUUGUCCAGUUUAUAUUGAAGCUAGGCCACAUUACAGAGGAAGGUACAGAGGCAAGUAAGGUGCUGAGUUUUAACAGAGUCCACCAAGUCCUGGGCUUGUAGGUCCUGCAUGAGACAUACGAGAGGAGUGAAUAAGCCAUUCGGUUUUAAUGGAGUUCGCCAAGUCCUGGGCUUGGAGGUUCCAGAUGAGACAUCCAGAGUGGUGUCUCGAGGAGGUUUUGAAGAGCCUUGCGCCAUACUGGUGGCCAGAAGGGUAAGAAACUUAGAGGAGGGGAGUGAGUACCCCCAUUCCUCCUGUUAGAAGAGAAGUGGGAGAGCCAGAGCAUCCCCGCAGCUCUUCGCGGUUCCCUGGAUACUGGAGUGGCCGGAGCGGCGAACAUUGUGAGGGCGUCCCCUGAGAAGGCAGGCCACGGUCACCUGAUGACCAGAGAGACCUCUCACCCAGCGCUGGGAUUUUCUGUCAACCGGCAGGAAUAUAUGAGUAAUCAGGACAGGAGGAGAAGGAAGACUCGCCUACUAAUUGGAGACCAGUUUGGGUUGUGAUGUCCAGCAAUGGGGGUGAUCCUUGUUGGAGCUGCCCAGAAAGCAGAAGGAAGGAAAAAGAAGAUGCAGAGUUUGAUCAGGAUCUGGAGGUUAGCCCAGGGCCGGAGAAGAAGAGAGAACAAGGGAAUGGGGCUGGGAACAGGGAGUUCCCUCAGGACCUGGAGGCAGGCCCGGGGCCAGUUUUUGCUGCUUGCUGCUUUCCAGGCAGCAAGAGAAGAUUUACGCAUUAGAACCCAAUCCCCGUCCCUGGUUUUGGCACCAAAAUGUUAGGUUUUAAAGGGAAGGUGAAGGUUAAAGAAAGACACACACAGGGCGGCUCAAACAGCAACGCAAGUAUAUUGCAGACACCUAUGGAAGUGGGAGACCAGCUUAAUGCCAAAGCCCACCUCCACUUACAGGCUGGGGUACUUAAAGGUUUGAGCGGGAGGGGUCUGGGCCAUAUGGCUUGCUGCUCAGCAGGAUAUUGAUAAGAUGUUCCCAUGAUGAGGCAGUUCUGGCCCUUUUUCCGGUGGAACAUGGUGUUUCUUUGCACUUUCUCCCAACAGAAUAUGAUAGGGAUGUUUCUUUACUUGGGCCUUUGUCUGACUUGUACUCAGGUGUUAGGCAGGAUGUUUCUCACAGCCAGAACCCCCAUAAAUGUUUCACUUUGACCAAGGUCUACAAAAUAGUGGGUGGUUUACAAAAUGGUGCAGUUUGGACUAACACUUAUUAUGUGCGAGGCACUGAUCUAAGUGUUAAGAAUACAGUGGAGAACAAGACAGAGGGAGCCUGCUCUCAUGAAACUGACAUUCUAAGAGGGAGAUAAAUUCAAAUCAAGUAAACAUAAGCAGAUAAGAUGAUUUUAAAGAGUGGUAAUCUUUAUAAAUCAAAGCAAACAUGAAAGGAAAUGACUGACAAGUAUUUUUCAAGAUUAAUUGGGUAGUCAAGGAAAUCCUCUGAAUAGAGUCUUGAUGUUCAGUAGCCAGCCCAUCCUGCUGGCUUGGGAUAGGCUUCUCAAAAGAAACCCACCCAAAUCUCACAUGCUGGAAGUGGGGCCUGGUGGGAGGUCAUUGGAUCCUGGGGGCGGUUUCUCAUGGUUUACCACUAUCCUCCCUUGGUGCUGUUAUCACGAUAGUGAGCUCUUUUGAAAUUUGGUUAUUUUAAAGUGGGUGGCACCUUCCCUAUCUCUGCCUUCUUCCUGCUCCAGCCAUGUGAAUUGCCAGCUCACCCUUCACCUUCUGCCAUGAUUGUUAAGUUUCCUAAGGCCUCCCCAGAAGCUAAGCAGAUGCCAGCAUCAUGCUUCCUGCACAGCCUGCAGAACCAUGAGCCAAUUAAACAUCUUUUCUUUAUAAAUUA
Pongo pygmaeus (Bornean orangutan) is the source of this 7556-nucleotide long non-coding RNA. RefSeq lists it as uncharacterized. The transcript has 2 exons. The record is from RefSeq and is a predicted model, not a curated record. NCBI's taxonomy places the organism in Eukaryota, Metazoa, Chordata, Mammalia, Primates, Hominidae.